UUAAACGGCCGCGGUAUUCUGACCGUGCAAAGGUAGCGCAAUCACUUGUCUUUUAAAUGAAGACCUGUAUGAAUGGUGAAACGAGGGCUUAACUGUCUCCCCCCUCCAGUCAAUGAAAUUGAUCUACCCGUGCAGAAGCGGGUAUAACUAUACAAGACGAGAAGACCCUUUGGAGCUUAAGACAAAAGACCAACUAUGUCAAAAGCCACAAAAAAUGGUACUAAACCAAAUAGUGCUGGUUACAGUCUUCGGUUGGGGUGACCGCGGGAGAAAACGAAGCUCCCAUGCGGACAGGGGAAACCCCCUAAAACUAAGAAAGACAUUUCUAAGGCACAGAACAUCUGACCAUAAAGAUCCGGCUUAAUGCCGAUCAACGGACCAAGUUACCCUAGGGAUAACAGCGCAAUCCCCUUCCAGAGUCCAUAUCGACAAGGGGGUUUACGACCUCGAUGUUGGAUCAGGACAUCCUAAUGGUGCAGCCGCUAUUAAGGGUUCGUUUG
Molecule: ribosomal RNA, 500 nt
Filed under: Hisonotus carreiro
Lineage: Eukaryota; Metazoa; Chordata; Actinopteri; Siluriformes; Loricariidae
Also listed under: 1 other name
Description: partial 16S ribosomal RNA
Rfam family: Bacterial large subunit ribosomal RNA
Source: RNAcentral